This 258-nucleotide long non-coding RNA is filed under the name Brassica napus (rape). RNAcentral describes it as "long non-coding RNA (BNAP_LNC004541)". Lineage: Eukaryota; Viridiplantae; Streptophyta; Magnoliopsida; Brassicales; Brassicaceae. The record is from RNAcentral.
AGGGGUAGAAGAUGAUGUUGGGGUUAAAAACAGUUACGAUGUAAUUACCACCCGAAAAUCCUCGGAGAUCGUAUUUCCGAAAGAGAUAGUAAAAGGAAACAUGUAAUUUUCGUAAAAAAUAACCAAUACGAAGUUUUUAAGAAGAAGUAUCCUUUGAGAUUCAAACCGAACAAACCAAGCUCGAUCACCACGCAUACACGCCGUCCGGUCGCUAUGCAGCAACCAAACCCAAGCCAAGCUCGGUCGCUACGUAGCGAC